UGAGGAAUAUUGGUCAAUGGGCGCGAGCCUGAACCAGCCAAGUCGCGUGAGGGAUGACGGCCCUACGGGGUUGUAAACCUCUUUUGUCGGGGAGCAAAUUCCGCCACGUGUGGCGGAGUCGAGAGUACCCGAAGAAAAAGCAUCGGCUAACUCCGUGCCAGCAGCCGCGGUAAUACGGAGGAUGCGAGCGUUAUCCGGAUUUAUUGGGUUUAAAGGGUGCGUAGGCGGACUGUCAAGUCAGCGGUAAAAUACGGGGCUGGCAUCCAUCCGUCCCGCCCGUCGUAAGCAAUGACGGUCUUGAGUGGGCGAGAAGUAUGCGGAAUGCGUGGUGUAGCGGUGAAAUGCAUAGAUAUCACGCAGAACUCCGAUUGCGAAGGCAGCAUACCGGCGCCAACUAGACGCUGAAGCACGAAAGCGUGGGUAUCGAACAGGAUUAGAUACC
RNAcentral lists this ribosomal RNA (442 nucleotides) under uncultured bacterium. RNAcentral describes it as "bacterial SSU rRNA". It matches the Rfam family "Bacterial small subunit ribosomal RNA", at positions 355 to 786 of the family's 1533-position model. The record is from RNAcentral.